Molecule: ribosomal RNA, 1176 nt
Filed under: metagenome
Description: SSU rRNA
Rfam family: Eukaryotic small subunit ribosomal RNA
Source: RNAcentral
GUUCUGGUGCCAGCAGCCGCGGUAAUUCCAGCUCCAGUAGCGUAUAUUAAAGUUGCUGCAGUUAAAAAGCUCGUAGUUGAAUUUCUGUUUGUAAGAGUCGAAGCUUUACAGCUAAGAUUUCUUCGAACAUCUGUUUGCAAGCAUACGUUCGGCCUUCACUGGUUGGCUAUGUAAGCAAGCGCUUUACCUUGAGAAAAUUAGAGUGUUCCAGGCAGGCUUCAGCCGGAAUACAUUAGCAUGGAAUAAUGGAAUAGGACUGGGGACUAUUUAUUGGUUUGAGGCUCCAGUAAUGAUUAAUAGGAACAGUCGGGGGCAUUGGUACUUAACAGUCAGAGGUGAAAUUCUUGGAUUUGUUAAAGACUAACUAAUGCGAAAGCAUUUGCCAAGCAUGUUUUCAUUAAUCAAGAACGAAAGUUAGGGGAUCAAAGACGAUUAGAUACCGUCCUAGUCUUAACUGUAAACGAUUCCAUCUUAGAAUUGGGUGAAUAUUUGAUGAUUCAUCCAGCGCUAUAAGAGAAAUCAAAGUCUUUGGGUUCUUGGUGGAGUACGAUCGCAAGAUUGAAACUUAAAGGAAUUGACGGUUUUGCACACCAUGGAGUGGAGCCUGUGGCUUAAUUUGACACAACACUGGGAAACUCAUCAGGACAACAAAGUUUUAGGAUUGACAGAUUGAUAGCUCUUUCUUGAUUGACUUAAUGGUGGUGCAUGGCCGUUCUUAGUUGGUGGAGUGAUUUGUCUGGUUAAUUCCGUUAACGAACGAGACCUUAACCUACUAACUAGUACGACGUGACGAACGUUAGUUACUUCUUAGAGGGACAAUGUGUAUUUUUAACACAAGGAAGUUUAAGGCAACAACAGGUCUGUGAUGCCCUUAGAUGUCCUGAGCCGCACACGCGCUACAAUGACACUUUCAAUAAGUUUUUGCUGGUCCGACAGGAUUUCGGCUAAUCUUUUUAGUAAGUGUCGUGCUAGGGAUAGAUCUUUGCAAUUGUGGAUCUUGAACGAGGAAUUCCUAGUAAGCACAAGUCAUCAGCUUGUGCUGAUUACGUCCCUGCAAAAUGUACACAUCGCCCGUCGCUUGCUCCGAUUGAGUAAUCUGGUGAGCCUUCUUGACUGAGUAAGUAAUUACGAAGAAAAUUAAGCAAACCAUAUUACUUAGAGGAUGAAGAAGUCGUA